Ornithodoros turicata is the source of this 173-nucleotide long non-coding RNA. RefSeq lists it as uncharacterized. The transcript has 3 exons. NCBI's taxonomy places the organism in Eukaryota, Metazoa, Arthropoda, Arachnida, Ixodida, Argasidae. The record is from RefSeq and is a predicted model, not a curated record.
GCGGCUGCAGUCUUGCGUCCCGUCAGGCUCUACUUUGUUGAACACUAAGCUGGACACAUAUCUCUCCAGCGCUUCAGAGACGUCGCUGGCGCCGAAAUUCCAGCUGUUUCACCGUGGGUCGCCAGAAGUACAGCAGAUCAUUUACUGUCAAUUGUGCGACGCGACACUAUGUG